GGCAGGAGUGAUUUGAUCAGGCAUAGGUUCUUUCACUAGUCUCUUGUGGGUGUAGGCUCUGUCCUCAGGCUGGGCUUUCUCCUAAUAGCAAAAUGGUGAUAUCAGUUCUAGGCCUCACACCUAGAAAAAGAAUUUCUCUCCUCCCGAGCAUGGAAUAAUACUCCUGGGCUUCAGUCUGGACCAAUUUCAGUCACACACUCACCCUAAAAGAACCACUGUGACUAAUGAAACACCAUCACGCAAGAAUGAUAGGACCACGCAUGCGCCAGCUGAGGUCCACCCGAGGAACCGGAAGGGAAGCAUGGUGGUUUCUGUCAAUUGCACUCCGGGGAAGCUGUCAGCUAUGUAACGGAGAGAGUCGGGAUGGAUCCCAGAGCAGCAGCCGAGGUCAACAUGGUGACAGACAGCCAUACUCCUCAAAGGGCUUUUGCUCGAGGCUAUUGAGAGCAUUAUCCCAUUUAAUCCACACACCUGUCCCAUCAGGUAAGGUUUUGUUGUUGUUGUUGUUGGUUUGUUUUGUUUUUAAAUUGUUUAUUGGUACAUUUUGGGUAUACAGUAAAGUUAUGUUCAUCAUUGGGAUCCUGUACCUUCACAUGACAGGUCUUCGUUCUCAUUUUUUCCCCUUGUCCCUGUCCUCUCUUCACCCCCUCCUCUCCUCCCCAUUUGCAAACACUUUAUUUCCAUUUUUUCAUUUUCUCAUAUUUUUUCCUUUUCCCUUAUUCGCUUUCCCCUACCCUUCCCACUUUCCCUACACCUUUAGCCCUUUUCUUCCUAUUUCACAUUGUCAAUUAUCUCAUUAGGAUCUUAUUGUUAUUUUUGUUUUUUGAGACAGAGUUUCACUAUGUAGUUGAGACUGACCUGGAACUCACUAUGUCACUCAGGCUGGUCUUGAACUCACAGUGAUCCUCCUGCCUCAGCCUCCUGAGUGCUGGGAUUACAGGCAUGUGCCACCACGCCCAGCCACCAG
Molecule: long non-coding RNA, 967 nt
Filed under: Fukomys damarensis (Damara mole-rat)
Lineage: Eukaryota; Metazoa; Chordata; Mammalia; Rodentia; Bathyergidae
Description: lncRNA (ENSFDAG00000029233.1)
Source: RNAcentral